Molecule: long non-coding RNA, 461 nt
Filed under: Homo sapiens (human)
Lineage: Eukaryota; Metazoa; Chordata; Mammalia; Primates; Hominidae
Description: non-protein coding lnc-TRIM52-1:2
Rfam family: Small nucleolar RNA SNORD95 (bases 240-307)
Source: RNAcentral
CUCUUUCACUGCAAGGCGGCGGCAGGAGAGGUUGUGGUGCUAGUUUCUCUAAGCCAUCCAGUGCCAUCCUCGUCGCUGCAGCGACACACGCUCUCGCCGCCGCCAUGACUGAGCAGAUGACCCUUCGUGGCACCCUCAAGGGCCACAACGGCUGGGUAACCCAGAUCGCUACUACCCCGCAGUUCCCGGACAUGAUCCUCUCCGCCUCUCGAGUGUGGCCGGGGGCCUACGGGCCGGGCGGGGCGGUGAUGACCCCAACAUGCCAUCUGAGUGUCGGUGCUGAAAUCCAGAGGCUGUUUCUGAGCUGCCGCCCGGCCCAAGGCUCGUGGGGAGGCAGGUGGACUCCAGAGGACCUCGUGGCUCAAAUAAGACCAUCAUCAUGUGGAAACUGACCAGGGAUGAGACCAACUAUGGAAUUCCACAGCGUGCUCUGCGGGGUCACUCCCACUUUGUUAGUGAUG